Molecule: small nucleolar RNA, 130 nt
Filed under: Aquila chrysaetos chrysaetos
Lineage: Eukaryota; Metazoa; Chordata; Aves; Accipitriformes; Accipitridae
Description: Small Cajal body specific RNA 24 (ENSACCG00020003384.1)
Rfam family: Small Cajal body specific RNA 24
About the family: scaRNAs are a specific class of small nuclear RNAs which localise to the Cajal bodies and guide the modification of RNA polymerase II transcribed spliceosomal RNAs U1, U2, U4, U5 and U12.
Source: Rfam by way of RNAcentral
UGGACACUAGGUUUUCUUUCAGUUUCUCCUCUAUGUGGGGAAAACUGUACAAGUGUCCUAUAGUAACACAGAAGCUAUCUGUUCAACUCUGAUGAGUUAAUGGGGUUGGAUCGUUCCACUUCUGACAGCU